AGAACUCUACAGAUCAACUUACCAGUAAAAAUGCAUUGGCACAUAAAAACCUGCACAUGGAGUUUAUAGCAGCUUUAUUCGUAAGUGCCAAAACUUGGAAGCAACCAUGAUGUCCCUCAUUAGGUGAAUGGAUGAACUGUGAUACCAAGGAAGAUUAUUCAGUGCUAAAAAGAAAUGAGCUAUUAAGCCAUGAAAAGUGUAAAUGUCAUGGCCUUCACUCAAGCCGUCUUCCUCAGCUUUAUUGUCAUUUUCUUGAGCCUUCACAACCCAGCUUCAGUCCAGCUGACUGCCUCCGCCAUGGCUAUACCAGGGCUGCAGAGCUUUGCUGGGGAAAAAUCACAAUGGUGAAGUUGAUGUCUACUAUGUGACCUGCAGCCUAAUACAUCAGCGCAUCCCUCCGUGUGUCCUGCAACUGUGUUCUCAGAUCAGAGUUUUCUACU
Molecule: long non-coding RNA, 440 nt
Organism: Myotis lucifugus (little brown bat)
Lineage: Eukaryota; Metazoa; Chordata; Mammalia; Chiroptera; Vespertilionidae
Exons: 3
Source: RefSeq, a predicted model, not a curated record